GAAAAGAAAUUGGGUGCUUUAUUUAUUUUAUUUGUUCCUCAUUGUAUUAUGAUAUGACAGCAAAGCAUUCAAUUCCUUGUUGAAAAAAAGAGUUCAGUGAAUAAAUAAAAAAGAAGCUGAACAAGCACAAAAACAGUACAUGAAAAAAACAAAGCAUAAAAGCUAAACAUAUCGAUGAUGUUUCUGUUUAAGCAAAUUUAUAAAACAAUAAAUAAAGUAAAAAAUGAUAAUCAUACUAGCAAAAUAUGAAAAAAUAAAAAGCUUUAAAAAAACAUCAACAAAGCUUAUCUAAGGAAAGAGAAAGAUUUUUUUUUUAUCGAAUAAGGGAAACAACAUCUAAGUUUUUGAAGAUAUAGUUGUAAACGCAGAGCUUUUUUUUUUUUUUUGCUCAUGUUUUGUUAGGUACAAUAAAUAAUUUUUUUAAAGUAAUGGUACGAGAGAAAUAACGUGUUCAAUUAUCUAAGAGGACGAAAUCCUAAAUAUUUAUAAGUAUCUGUGAAUACUGAAGUAUUAAUUUCCCAUGUUGGUAACUAAUAAUUAAUUGACUAAUUGUUGUUUUUUAAAGUCUUGUCUAUGACAAUGAAUAAUUGUGCAAAGUUUUAACUUGAUCCAAGAAUGGGUGUGGGAGAAAUAUCGUGUACACACUUUUUACCAGACAGAGUGAAUUUAUAUUAGCUUUGCUCAACAAGCGAUAAGAAAACUGGAUAAGAUAAACUUUGUACUAAAGAAACCUACAAUUUUGUAUUAUGUAUUGAUGAAGCUUAUUUCUACCAUGAUCAUCUUAUUUAACGGUGCUUAAGUCUAUAUUUUAAAUUUUAUAUGCAGGUUAGAAAAUAGUUUAAAUCUGCUACAAAAGAAGGU
This is a non-coding RNA of Biomphalaria pfeifferi, 861 nucleotides long. NCBI's taxonomy places the organism in Eukaryota, Metazoa, Mollusca, Gastropoda, Planorbidae. The record is from the annotation of a GenBank genome assembly.